Molecule: long non-coding RNA, 2571 nt
Filed under: Mus musculus (house mouse)
Lineage: Eukaryota; Metazoa; Chordata; Mammalia; Rodentia; Muridae
Description: long non-coding RNA chr5:75610957-75613528
Source: RNAcentral
AGUCCUAUCACGGGCUGUGGUCUCUGUGUGGCUGAUUGUACAGGUUGUCUCCAAAACUGGCCCAAGGGUGGUGACCCUGCUGGCAGUCAUAGCUGUUAGGGACUGGCCUAGAGUACGUUCAUGUGCUGUCUCAACUACGUACACUGCAGCAUGUGUGUUCAUUAUGAGUGAUAAAUAGCUGCCACAUUGUUACUAUCUUUUGAGAAAAGAAAGGGCACCUGUCUCAGGUUGUUACUUAACGCUGGCUUUGUUUAAAUGGCUUUAGUAAGGAAAUUUAAAAAAAGCAAACAGAACAAAGUAAAUGAAUAGCUGUAUACUAUCCAGAUAAUGUAUACUUAAGGUCUGCUUAGGCCACGUGACAGAAAGAGUCAUCAACACCUCCCCACCCCCUUCUUCUUCUUCUGAGGAAAUGCCAGCAUGUAUGACCCACAAAGCUCUUCUGAUCCCGCAGAAUGGCCACAUCAUCUGGGAUAUGGGGUUCUCUUUGUGCGGCUUGGAUUUCCCCCUUUGAGGCUGGUUCCCUGAGAUUAAAUUGCUAAUGGAUUUCCGUUUUUUUGUUUGUUUGUUUGUUUGUUUGUUUGUUUUGUGGCUAUUAAUAAAAUGGCUAUCUUUCGUGUGGAACAUUUGGACGAGUUUUUGUUCUCAUUCAGUUGACAAGUAUGUACUGAGUGCCUAUUAUAUGUCAGAUACUGUGCUGAACAUGUCUUAAAUAAAGCUUAGCCAAAUCCUUCCUUCCCCAUCUCUUUUUCUUCCAGGGCUAAGGCUUGAACCCAAAGGCCUUAUGCCUGCCUGCGAGGCAAGGACACUGUCUAACCCUGAUUUUAGACAAUUUCAUUUGGAUUUUUUUUUUUUGUCUCAAAUACUCAACAACAAGGUUUUGAAACUCUUAAUUGUCCCCAAUAUUUUCCAUUAAAAUUCCCGCUGACUGAGUUUCUCUUCUACCCGUAGUGAGACAAUGGCGUAGCUAUCAGCAGGUCCUCUUUCUUUUACAUCUAGGAAUGUGAAAUGUAAAAUAAAGGGGUACACUUAUUUUUCCUCCUCCUCCUCUUGGCCAGUGUUCAACGUUGGCAAUUUCAUGCCUGCAUACAGAGUUCGGUGCGAAAUGCAUAGCCGUGGUGAUGUGCAUAAUGGUGGCAUUUGUACAGAUCUUGAUGGAUGAUAGAUAACUUGCUUUGUCUACGAAGCCUGCCGCUGGCCUGGAGAUCGGAUUGGACUGGAGACUCAUUCUUUCAAACCAAUACCUCAGAGAAACAAGUUUUAGUUUCCAGACCAUCUAAUGUAAUACAAAUAAUAGCUUCUGUAUGGAUUUUGGGCUAACCUUACAGAGCACAAUCCCAUAUUAAUUGGCUUUCUAUAAUCCUUGAUUUCAGAUGAGAGAACAAUUUAGACUAUGUGUGUGUGUGUGUGUGUGUGUGUGUGUAUUUGAGCCUGUGUAUACUUGAAAAUUAGCCCUUUUAAGAUGAGAAAUUCAAUUUGCCCCAGGUGGUUUUGUUCUGAACCCUGUUUCCCAGGAGCCCCCACAUGCCAUUCCCAAUUAACCCACUGGCAAUGGGAGCUAAGUCUUUAGUGUUAGGGGCUCUUUGGGGAGAUCCCAAUGUGUGCCUCCAAGGGUUAAAGAAAAACCAAAUCAUGUGCAGACAGCAUGCAAUGUGUGACUUGCAGAUGGGACUCUUGGCCCUCUGCCAGGGUUCACCGUGAAUCUUUUAUUGAUCCUUUGGCAUAAUUUGGAAUGCUGUUAGCACUAUCAGAUUAUUUUUAAAAAAUCCAUAAUGUUUGAACUUGACCAUUUAGAGGAAGCUUCACUCAUGAGAAAUGGAGGCUACAAUGAGAUCUUAGGAGUUGUUGCGAUUAUUUGUUCAAGCAUUUUAUUCUUGGGGUUUAGACAGGGCUCGCUCAUCUUGGCCAGCUUUUCUAAUGCUUCCGAACGAACACUGAGCUUUCUACUGGCUUUCAGUGCUGAGCUUGGUGGUAUGCUAAGUUAAGAUCUUUGACUUUGGGUGUCAGCUAGCACAUCAUUUUUGACCAAGCUAUUUUGUUCUUCACUAAUCAUCUCAGACCUUGUGCUCAGCACCCUUUUGGGGGACUCUCUGAUCCUAGGAAGAGUGGCGUUCCAUCUGUUCUUGGUCACUGUGGCUUUGGCACUGAAGGCAGAAACAGCAGCCUAAAGGCCAGCGGGAGCAUGGCGCUCAUUUUUGGCUUAUCAUAUAAUAGAGCGAUCCUAUACCCUGAUAUGGCAGAUUUCUACCACUGGAAACACCUAGAGGGAUGGCUCAAGAUCUGCUGAGGACCAUGUGAGAAUGGCAGGGAGAGCCCUAUUUGUUAUUCACACCUUUAGGAACAAAGGCCAGGUCCAGGUGUCUUUGACUUGAUUAAGUCCUUGCAGCCAAACAGAUUCUCUUCUUUUUAAUAAACCUUGGGUCCAAAAUUUUUAUGUAUGCUUAUUUUAAUGUAACAGGAUUCCAAGUACUGUGACCCGGACAUGAUGUUAGCUCCAUUACAGAGCCUUUGCUUUGCCUGUGUGAGGCCUUCAGUUCCAGCCCUGAAGAAAAAUUCUUAACCUAUAAUUAUACG